RNAcentral lists this unclassified non-coding RNA (240 nucleotides) under soil metagenome. Its description in RNAcentral is "partial contains 5.8S ribosomal RNA, internal transcribed spacer 2, and large subunit ribosomal RNA". The record is from RNAcentral.
AACCUAGCACACCUGCGGUGUGUACCUGCGGAGGGAUCAUUACCACUACUUUACAUUCCAUAUCAUAAAAAACUUCUUUAUGUGUGGUGAGUGUUGUGUGCUAAACACACACGCGCUCACAUACAUAAAGGGGGAACACCCACUGUGUGAACUUGUUGAAGUACUUAACAUUAGACAUACACCCACUCUGUGUGUGUGCGACUAGUGUUAAAUUCUUAAACACCCUUUUUUUCCAAUCUU